AUCGCUUAUAUGGUCAUCUGAGGUCAAAUCAAUAGUUAAUUAGAUGGCGUCUGGGCUUACAUACACACGAAACGAACCUACAUAUUAUCUACACCAUGCUCUGUAUACUGUUUAUUUUAGACAUUUGGUAGUUUGGAUAAAUGUUUUACAUUGUUAUAAAUCAAAUAUGAGAAUUUGAGUCAAAUCGGUGACCAUGAACUUGACAGCUAGUGCCCC
This 216-nucleotide long non-coding RNA is filed under the name Mytilus galloprovincialis (Mediterranean mussel). The record is from RNAcentral. Lineage: Eukaryota; Metazoa; Mollusca; Bivalvia; Mytilida; Mytilidae.